CUCCGGCUUGGUCUCCUCUUACUCCCUUCCCCCCUUUUCCAGGCUCUGUCUCUCUCCAUGGUUCUAUCUAUCUGUGGCUCCCCCGUAUCUGAGAUUCCGGGUCUCCCCAUCUUUGGGCCUUCCCCCUUCUCAAGGGAAGGAGUGAGGUCGGGCUGAGGACUUGGGCAGCGCCUCUCAGCUUUUGGGGCCUGGCUCUCUGUCCCUGCUCUAGCUCCCUUUCUGCCUUACUGGCCGGGGCCUCUGUCAUCGCCAGGUCUCUUUAUUUUCCGAAGGCUGCAGGAGGCCCGGGCACUGCUGCAGCGCCGCCGACCCCGAGGGCCCGGACACAGGGGCCUUCUGCGGCUAAGCCGCCAGCUGGAGAGAGCGGCCGCUGCUCCUGCCCGGGCCCCCGGGCGAGAGCUGAGGGACCCUGGCGUCCGGCCCUUCUCCCCAGGUGGCUCCGUGACAGCGGGUGUGGGGGAGGGAG
Molecule: long non-coding RNA, 466 nt
Filed under: Sarcophilus harrisii (Tasmanian devil)
Lineage: Eukaryota; Metazoa; Chordata; Mammalia; Dasyuromorphia; Dasyuridae
Description: lncRNA (ENSSHAG00000031054.1)
Source: RNAcentral